CAGCAGUAGCCGCGGGAAUACAGAGGGUGCGAGCGUUAAUCGGAUUUACUGGGCGUAAAGCGUGCGUAGGCGGCUUUUUAAGUCGGAUGUGAAAUCCCUGAGCUUAACUUAGGAAUUGCAUUCGAUACUGGGAAGCUAGAGUAUGGGAGAGGAUGGUAGAAUUCCAGGUGUAGCGGUGAAAUGCGUAGAGAUCUGGAGGAAUACCGAUGGCGAAGGCAGCCAUCUGGCCUAAUACUGACGCUGAGGUACGAAAGCAUGGGGAGCAAACAGGAUUAGAUACCCCUGUAGUCCCUGUCUCUUAUAC
RNAcentral lists this ribosomal RNA (304 nucleotides) under uncultured bacterium. RNAcentral's name for it is "partial 16S ribosomal RNA". It matches the Rfam family "Bacterial small subunit ribosomal RNA", at positions 506 to 807 of the family's 1533-position model. The record is from RNAcentral.